AAAGUCCCCUUCGGGGGAUAAGUAAAGUGGCGUCCGGGUGAGUAACACGUAGGUAAUCUACCUUCGGGUGGGGAAUAACCCAGGGAAACUUGGGCUAACACCGCAUAAUGCAGCGGCACCACAUGGUGACAGUUGUUAAAGCGGGGGAUUUUAGGACCUCGCGCCUGAAGAGGAGCCUGCGGCGGAUUAGCUAGUUGGUAAGGUAACGGCUUACCAAGGCGACGAUCCGUAGCCGGCCUGAGAGGGCGGUCGGCCACACUGACACUGACAUACGGGUCAGACUCCUACGGGAGGCAGCAGUCGGGAAUUUUGGGCAAUGGGCGAAAGCCUGACCCAGCAACGCCGCGUGAAGGAUGAAAUCCUUCGGGAUGUAAACUUCGCAAGAAUGGGAAGAAUUAGCGAGCGCUAAUACCGCUCGUGAUGACGGUACCAUUUGUAAGCUCCGGCUAACUCCGUGCCAGCAGCCGCGGUAAUACGGGGGGAGCAAGCGUUGUUCGGAUUUACUGGGCGUAAAGGGCGCGUAGGCGGUCAGCACAAGUCAGUUGUGAAAUCUCCGGGCUUAACUCGGAAAGGUCAACUGAUACUGUGCGACUAGAGUGCGGAAGGGGCAACUGGAAUUCUCGGUGUAGCGGUGAAAUGCGUAGAUAUCGAGAGGAACACCUGCGGCGAAGGCGGGUUGCUGGGCCGACACUGACGCUGAGGCGCGAAAGCCAGGGGAGCGAACGGGAUUAGAUACCCCGGUAGUCCUGGCCUUAAACGAUGGAUGCUUGGUGUCUGGGGUUUUAUAGUCCCCGGGUGCCGUAGCUAACGCGUUAAGCAUCCCGCCUGGGGAGUACGGUCGCAAGACUG
This 849-nucleotide ribosomal RNA is filed under the name uncultured Bacteroidota bacterium. RNAcentral describes it as "bacterial SSU rRNA". It matches the Rfam family "Bacterial small subunit ribosomal RNA", at positions 70 to 896 of the family's 1533-position model. The record is from RNAcentral. Lineage: Bacteria; Pseudomonadati; Bacteroidota.